RNAcentral lists this long non-coding RNA (271 nucleotides) under Linum usitatissimum (flax). RNAcentral's name for it is "long non-coding RNA (LUSI_LNC006830)". Lineage: Eukaryota; Viridiplantae; Streptophyta; Magnoliopsida; Malpighiales; Linaceae. The record is from RNAcentral.
CCUUGGUAAGCGCCACAAGUAACUAUUAGCGUGGGCUUUGAUAAGCGCCACACUAACUCUACGUGGGCCAUUUUAGUGCCACUAACUCUACGUGGGUCGUCAGCAUAUGUGAGCCGGGAUCCCAAAUAAAAUAUGGAUAUAAAUUAGAUUAUAGAAUUAGCCUUAUGUGUUAUAUGUUGUAUACCUCCUAUAUGAAUAUUUGUACCAUAGAGUGAUUAGGACGUAGAUCCUCACUCAGUGAUUAGCACUGACCCUUACUUUUCAUUUCAGA